UAGGAUCAUCAUGAGGAUGGUGACAGAUCCGGAUAAACUGACGCAUAAAUCGCUUCCUUAGGGAUAGAUGGAUCUUUAAUCUACUGUGUAGAGACACAGGACGACGAAUGCGGAUUGUUGUUAGAGAACAACUACCACUGAGCGUGACCAUACAAGAGAUCAUUUGGAUUUCUAUUCAAUCGUCAAUGAUUGUCUCGAUGCUGUAGUUGUGUGACUGAUCCUUUGACUUGAAAUAAUACUAUUGCUCGCAGUGAGGCUGCUGGAGUUUGAUUGAUACAUAAACAUGGAUCUCACUGAGCUCUUGUAGUGGAUAUUGACGAUAGUUGGUCCACUGUAGGAGUAGGAUACGCAUCAAAAUAAAAUCUAUCAACCUUGAUAGAAAGUAAUCCUAUGGGAUUUGAGAAGCUAAGUCUAUGAAUCUGUGGCCACAGUAGAGUGAUUGAUGAAAAAGAGUUUCCAUA
Molecule: long non-coding RNA, 461 nt
Filed under: Elaeis guineensis (African oil palm)
Lineage: Eukaryota; Viridiplantae; Streptophyta; Magnoliopsida; Arecales; Arecaceae
Description: long non-coding RNA (EGUI_LNC073847)
Source: RNAcentral